UUAGAUCACCGAAGUCAAGCAUCAUUGGGCGCGGUCAGUACUUGGGUGGGUGACCACCUGGGAACACCACGUGCCGUU
Caerostris darwini is the source of this 78-nucleotide non-coding RNA. NCBI's taxonomy places the organism in Eukaryota, Metazoa, Arthropoda, Arachnida, Araneae, Araneidae. The record is from the annotation of a GenBank genome assembly.